GUUUUCCCAAAACAUAAUUCAUUUCCCGCUUCUCUCCCUUCCCCUUCUUCUGUUCUCUGCUUUUCCUUGAAUUUUAUUUUCAUUUUCCCAUUUCUCCUCCUUCCCCUCUCUGGUUCUGUGCUCCUCCCCUUUCAUUGGUUUCUAAUAAGGUUGUUGUUCCCCCACCGUCGUUGUCAAUGCCUCCUCACGAACUGAGCGCUCCACCGCCGACGUCGUUGUUGACAUGGUGGUGUUGUUCUUGUUGCUGGUGUUAGGUUGCCGGUCUCCCUUGCUCCUCUCCUCGUCCUUAUGUAUUUGCUCCCCUGAGCCACUGCAGCCCUGCCACCUUGUCCUCGACCACCGUCUCCCACCUAUCCUUGGCCACCGUCUCCGAUCUUCUCCUCUGCGCCGUUUUCUGGAGAGCUUACUAGGAGUGUCUGUCAAUUUUUCAGCGAGUCACUAAGCACUUUUCUCAAUUACUCGGUUGAUUUUGAACAAUCAUAGCAAUCUCUAAAGAUCGUGUCAGACCAUCUCCAAGCCCUAACAGCUGGAAACUGAAUGAGAUUUUUGUUACUGGUUGUGUCAUCGGGGGAUAUCUCGCCUUAGUCACUUUGUUAUUUUACUGGGUCGUAAAUGACACAGAUUUCUCCGAGGAUAAUUUGGGUGUGAGCUCUCUACCUGGAAACACAGAGAAAACUUCAUCUGCAAUAUAUAUGCAAGUUAGCAACAUUAGCCAUGCCCUCAUCUUUAUUACUCGCACUCAGAGCUGGUCAUUUCUGGAGAGAGCUGGAGUUCUUCUCAUGUCUGCAUUCGUGGUGGCGCAAUUGGUAUUCAAUAAUCCGAGGGAGCGGCCUUUCACCUUUGAGGAGAUAGAUGAAGUUCGAGAAAUGUUGGCAAACUUCAUUACCAGUGAUUGUCUUUGAUAUUUUAUUGUACUGAAUCUUAAAUUAUGGAUGCUAGCUAGUUUUUCAUAUGAUUGUAAUGUAAUCGACUUUUAUAUUUACAAUUAUAUACUAUUUAUUUUAAUUAUCUAUAUAAUUGGAUACUUUUUAUAUGACCUAUGGAGGUUAAUCA
Spinacia oleracea (spinach) is the source of this 1053-nucleotide long non-coding RNA. RefSeq lists it as uncharacterized. The record is from RefSeq and is a predicted model, not a curated record. The transcript has 5 exons. Lineage: Eukaryota; Viridiplantae; Streptophyta; Magnoliopsida; Caryophyllales; Amaranthaceae.